This 131-nucleotide small RNA is filed under the name Salmonella enterica. RNAcentral's name for it is "RtT sRNA". It matches the Rfam family "RtT RNA". From Rfam's summary of the family: This family represents a bacterial cis-regulatory element known as RtT RNA. The record is from RNAcentral. Lineage: Bacteria; Pseudomonadati; Pseudomonadota; Gammaproteobacteria; Enterobacterales; Enterobacteriaceae. RNAcentral also lists the same sequence under 2 other names.
AUAUCUCUCUGUACGGGAAGGAUGAGAAGCUUCGACCAAGGUUCGAUUCGAGCGCAGCGAGAAAGCGUUGCCGCAGGCAACGGCCCGAAGGGCGAAGCGCGCAGCGCUGAGUCAUCCUUCCCCCACCACCA